AAUCAACGCUGGCGGCGUGCCUCAGACAUGCAAGUCGAACGAUUAAACUUUCCUUCGGGAAAGAUAUAAAGUGGCGCACGGGUGAGUAACACGUAAGUAAUCUACCUUCGAGUGGGGAAUAACGUUCGGAAACGAACGCUAAUACCGCAUAAUGCAGCGGCACCUAAUGGUGACAGUUGUUAAAGGAGCAAUUCGCUUGAAGAGGAGCUUGCGGCAGAUUAGCUAGUUGGAAGGUAACGGCUUACCAAGGCUACGAUCUGUAACCGGUCUAAGAGGACGGUCGGUCACACUGACACUGAAUAACGGGUCAGACUCCUACGGGAGGCAGCAGUCGGGGAAUUUUGGGCAAUGGGCGAAAGCCUGACCCAGCAACGCCGCGUGAAGGAUGAAGUAUUUCGGUAUGUAAACUUCGAAAGAAUGGGAAGAAUCAAUGACGGUACCAUUUAUAAGGUCCGGCUAACUACGUGCCAGCCG
RNAcentral lists this ribosomal RNA (474 nucleotides) under uncultured bacterium. RNAcentral describes it as "bacterial SSU rRNA". It matches the Rfam family "Bacterial small subunit ribosomal RNA", at positions 32 to 514 of the family's 1533-position model. The record is from RNAcentral.